CAUGCACAUUCUAGGCACCCAAUGUAUGUCUGUUGAAUGGACUGCAUAUCUGAGUUCCCCUCUACACUGUGAGCUCUUAUUUAUCCUUCUUCUUAGCCCCUAGAAUAAUGCCCUAUACAAGGCUGGUGCCCAGUAAAUAUUUGUCAGACGGAUGAAUGAAUUGAUUGUUGGAAGCCAGCCAAGGCCUGGGCAUCCUCAUAGACAAGUAGAUCCAGAUGACAAGUAGCACAGUCCCAAUCUCAGGGAGCUCCGUAGAGAGUUCCAGUCUUCAUGAAUAUCAGCAAUCAAAGGUUAAUAUUAUGAGAUUUUUAUCUGUAUUUUAUACCCCGGGGGAAAUUCUAUGGAUGUUCUCAUAAUUAUUGUUCACAUCUUCCAGUCAUAACAUGAAAUACAAUACAUGCUCACCAUUUCCCAGAGUCUGUGAGGGACAAAUUUCUUGCUGAGGCAAUUAUCUUUCACAGCUGCUGUCCACAAUUUUGUCCAACUCCCAUGGAAACCAGGAACAUUACCUUAAUGUUAGAAGGGACCCCAGAGACAAGCUAGCCCAGCCCUACUGUUUUACAGAUGAGGGAAUAAAUAACUUGUAGAGUUUUCCAUUUUUAAGAUCAUUUUGCUAGGGAGUUUUCUUUUUGCUGGACAUGAGAAAAUGUAACAACAUUUAUGAACAAUAUUUUAUCUCACUUAUAAGCUUACAAAUACAUACAUACAUAGCUGAGAGAAAAAAAUAUUUUAAAAAAUCAAAAGGAAAAUUAUUAUGCAGCCAGGAUCUAGAGAGAGAAAAAGAACCUGAGGUACCAUUUUACCACUUGUCAAUAAUAACAGUUUCUAUUAGGGAAACCAUUUUACACAAUAAUUUUCAAGCAGAGAGCAGAGUGGUGGUGAGCGCACUUGCACUACCCGUGUCUGAAGCAGUACUGGGUGUUAUAGGUAGAAAAGCAUGAAUCAUUUGGUUAUAUCAAAAAUCAUUGAGAGAGAAAAACAAUUUGUUAUCAGGAGCACUCAUUCUUUGGGGACUUUCCAGUGGCAUCUACAGCCGCCUCCUAUUCUGACCAACUCCUACAACUCUGGAACCCAGUUUCCCAUAUUCUGAAUCAUCUUGUGUGCCUCCUGUCCCUGCUGCUGGUAAGAGGGCAUGAAAAGCCAAACCAGAACUGCCAGGCCUGACCCAAGGAUCAGUUCUGAAAAAGCAAAGGACAAACCCAGAUGAGAAAUAGGGUUCUUCAGGAUCUUGUCUUGCUGCUUCAUUCAUAUCAUCACAUUCUAGUGUCCUCUUUCAACCCUGUAUCUUAAUCAGGGCAGACUUGUCACUUAUUCAUAUUUAAUGACUUUCAUGUACUUCUUGUUGCCUGGAAUCUCCUAUGCUUGACCAUUGGCCUGGUCAAUUUCCAAUUCUGAAGAACUUGGUGCAAGUCUACUUCUAUUCCACUUUCCUGAAUACAAUGUCUGAUUUCCAGCUCCUGAUGAAUACAUCCAUUAUAGCUCAUAUCACAGACCUGUUUACCCACUGUUUACUUAUCUGCUUCCCCAGUAGACUCUGAGCUACUGAAGAUAGGGACUUUGUUAUACUCCUUGGUGGCCAGCAGUAUUGGGCAAUGCAAAUUUGCUGAAUGAAUUAAUGAAGACAUAGAGUCACAGGAAGAAGCCAGAGUCAAGUAGUAUAGGAAUGGGGAAAAUUGUACAGUCCAAUAAUUUGGGGUAAUACAAUUAGUGAGGCCUCUUUAUGUAUAGACUUCUCAGAGUCUUUUGUAUGCAAAUGUGCUUGGUAAAUAUACAAAAGAUGAUAUUUACUAAGUACUUAGUAAAGAAGUACUUUCCAACUUAUUUGUCUCUGGAACACUCUCUCUCUCUCUCUCUCUCUGUGUGUGAGAGUGUGUGUGUGUGUGUGUAUGUGUUUGUGUGUGUGUGUUGCUUCUCUCUCCCAGAAAAAUUGCUUAGGAGAUGCAGCUUUCAGGCAUCUUCAUCUAGACCUUUUGCUUUAGGGUAAUACCAUUACCAGAAAGUCAGUAUCUAAGUUAUAAGUACAAUGUGCAGGGUUGUAAGUGCUACAGCAAAUGGUUGAAUUGAAUUUAGCCAGAUGUAAAAGUACUUCAAGUCAUUUUUGAGGCUGAAACCCCUACAAUGAAGAAGUUCUUCCUCUGAAGUUCUGCAAAAUCCAUCUGAACUUUUGACCCAGAAACAUCUUAGACUCUUAAGGAAAUGUUCAUACCAAGUCAACUAGCUUUUACUGUUCUCAUCUAUAGUUAAGUAAAGGGCACCAAAAAACCUCCUAACCAUUACAUUCAUAUAACAUCUUUUGGGUGCUUUGCAUUCAGUGUGGUGAAGGUAAUGAGCAAAAAAAGAAAGACAAGAAAAACAAAAAAAUACUUUUUGAAACCCUGAUAAUAUUUUCACAAAUGAUAUUUAGCAUUGCAAACUAAUGCUUCAGGGUUCUGUAAAUGUGAAGAAUUGAACAGGCAAUAACAGAUAAGCAAUUAUGGCAUGAGAUAAACCAAUACUUUAGUUUAUAGUCAUAAAAUUCUUGCCAAAAAGACACAAAUGUUUUGAUUUCCUCAGAUACUAUAUGAAUAAAUUAGGUUAAAAAGCAAUGUGAUUCAGAAAUUCAUCAAAAAUAAAAAAUAAAAACAUUUACUGGUAACUUGCUAUGUGCCAAUAUUGAAGACGCAAAGAUGCAGAAAAAGAAAAGGAAAAAGAUCUACUCUCAACAAGAUUACUAUCCCUUUACACAAAUGAAUCAUAAUUAAACAGAAAAAUAUCUACAACAGGUGCACUAUCUGGUUUUUAACAGGACAUCCUUAGCACAAAGACUGGCACAUAUAGAUGUUCAAUAAAUGUUGAACGAAUGAGUAACUGAGUGAACAAAUGAAUAAAUAUAGGCAGGAUUUAAGUGGAUGUCUUGACACAUCAAGGUAGGGCUUCAUUAAGGACUGGGGAUUGACAGAUACCAUACAAAUGGUCAUCCCCCAAAAGGCAUGUUAUAGAUGCCUGGAGGAGGGUAAGUGGGAGCUUUCCUAAGUCAGUAGGGUGGCAGGAGAAGAGGAGUGUUUCAAGGAUGUACAAUGACUAGACCUCUCUGAUCUGAGGGGAGUUGGGUUGGGAUACAGCAUUCACACCAGACAGUUACAUUGGAAAAGGCCUAAAGGGUCAUUAAAUGCCAUGUUAUAAAGCCAGAAUUUUAUCUUAAAGAUAAAAGGACACCAAGGAAGGAAGUUUUUGACCUAAGGAAUGAUAGACGGAUGUUCUUUUUAGGCAUAAGUCUGUCUCGUCAUGGAUUACAAGGAAAAAGAAAAUGUGGAUUAGAUGGAUAUUGAAUGAAAAGACCCUUCUCAAAUCUCAAGUCCUUGGAAAUAUAGAUGCAAACCAAUGCUUCAGGGUUCUGUAAAUGUGAAGAAUUGAACAGGCAAUAACAGAUAAGCAAUUAUGGCAUGAGAUAGACCAAUAUUUUAGUUUCUGCUGCUUAACAGCCAUCAGAUUGGGGCAAGUUGCUUAACCUUGGCAAACCUCAAUUUCCUCCAUUGCAAAAUGGGGAUAUUAAUAGCACUACCUCAUAAGGUUGGUGGUGAAGAUUAAAUUAGAUAAUGAUUGUUAACUAUUUACAACAGCGCUGAUCCACAGUAAAUGGUCAAAACAUACCACCUAUUAACACUCGACUUGAAAUUGCAAUUAACAGUUCAUCCACUCAAUAGGUCCUCUUUAAGAAGACCAUGAAUGAAUGAACCAGCUUUAAAGACACUAAUUCCUCAGUCUUCUUGUAAUAUUAAUAUUAUGAAACAAAUUUUUAGGGAAUGUUGUAAAUCAGAGUUAAUAUUUUUGUUGCAUUUGAGUCCCCAUGAUUAUAUUCUGCAGGGAUUUAAUUUUCUGUGAUACUUAAGGCCUGUUUGUGUCUAGCCUGCUUUUCUCUGUCCUAACUCAAUUUCCAUUUAGUGCCAUCCAAGUUAGAAAAAGGCAAUGUCAGCUCCUUCUCAAUGUCCACCUGUAGGGACUUGCCUAAAGUCACACAGCCAAGCACCCAAUAAGACAGCCAGAUCUGGAAUGUAGAUUUUCUCACUCCCAGGUUGGUGUCCACUCACACCCAUGAAAUGGUUUUUUCCACUCCCACUAAAGUGUGCCAACUAGGCAAUAAUACUAAUAUGAGAGCAAGUAUUGAAGCAUCUACUUAAAGAGGUAUAGAAAUGCAUGGGUGUUUACUGGCAUGUGGCAAAUCUAUAGUGUUCACUUUCCAAAUGAGUCAGAUACCCAUUAGAAUGACUUCAUUCAAUUUUUGCAUUAAAUAUAGAAAAUCUUAUACAGCAACCCACAUGCAAAUAUUUAAACUGGUGCUUUUUUAGCUCACAAUGCUUUCCCUGUACCUUGUAAUCAGCCAACCAGAAUCAGUGAAAAAACAAUAUAAAAGACUAACAUUUUUUGUUACCAGUAAUUUCCAAGCUGGGGACAACAUCAUCAGAGGAUCUCAUCCUGACAUCAGUACUUCCCCAGCUGACACAGAAACUCUGCUCUUACAGGGUGGCCCCAUAUUGUCAAGCACAUGACUAAAUAUAGAUCAUAGGCUCAUGCCUCUUGAUCAUCAAACACUGCUCCAAAAUAAUAUUCAAGGAGUUGGUCUGGUUUGGGGGUUAGAAGGUACGUGUGGACUCAUGACUUUGCCACUUCUCAUAAAAAAAUAAGAAUUAUUUCAUGAAUAAGCUGCCAUGUUAUGAAUGCUCCAAUAUCCUGUCAUCAGCACUGAGCACUACAGUUAGCUCAAAGUAUCUAUAGUUUUGCCACCAGCACCAGCCAAAGACACACACAUCACAGUUUUUUACCAUUCCCAUGCCUUCUAUGUUGUUCUAUCUGCCUUGAAAGUCCUACUCCACCCCUUGCCCAUGUGUCACCUUCUACCUCAAAACUCAGCUUAAAGGUCCACUUGGUAAGAACAUCUUGACUGGCCCUUGGAUUCCAAAAUCACUUUUCAUAUGAGCCUUCCAUUCUGGCACUUAAGACAUUGUGUUAUGUGUUGACAAGUCAAUUCCACACCAAGCUGUGGUCCACUUAGAAGUAGGAAUCAUCAAAUUCUCCUUUCUAGAGGCCAAAGGAACUUGGUUGCAGCAGCCAACUUUGGAGCAGCCUCACUCCUUGGGAGCUGGAACAAAGCAGACAGUUAUUCAGAGCAAACACUAUACCGAGAGUAAGCAAAGAAAGCAAAUCAGGGCCACGGAAGGUGCCACAGUCAAAGAGGCACCAUCAGCGUUACUUCCACAGAGGUAAGGUGAAUUCAGUAGUAAAAGGUGAGGACAGAUGACGGAGGCCUGGGGUGAUACAAAGCAAGUAGGAAAGUGAAUAUGAAGCGGAAUAAAGUAGAAAGGCUUAGGACAGAAGUAAAGUGGAGCAGGGGAGAAGAGGGCCAUGUCCAGGGAUCUAAGGCUCUCUGGCGAUUGCUUAGAGGUAAAUGAGAAAGUUGGCCAUUGUAAAGGAGCAGGACUGUUCUAGGGACUGUUCCUUUCUACAUCUCUGCUACCUGGCACACUACCUAAAGCAAAGCAAGUAUUUGAAAACUGUUUACUGAAUAAAUGAGUGAAUUAAUGAAUAAAUCAGUGAAUGAAUCAUAGAGUCUUCUAAGAGUUGACCUACAUAUUCCAAGAAUCUCAGCCUUGCUACUAUAGUAAAUUGGUCAUCUGCUCUUGUAGCAGUUCUCAUAGGCCGAUUGGUUUGCAAGUUAUAUAUCUGUGUGUCUCCUCUGUUAGAUGAUUGCCCCAAGAGAGCAGCCAUAGAGUUCCAGGACAGAGCAGAAUACCAUCUCUUGCACACAAUAAAGUGUUCCAUAAAUGCCUAUGGAGUUACACUGAACAAUAUUGAAUUUAAAUAAUUUGCUUUUCAGUAUAAAUCAGCUUAGUAGUCCGGAAGAAAAGUUUAGAUCAAGAGCAAAUACAGAAACAUUAAAAAUAAUAAAUUGAAUAAGUACAUGAAUUGAUGCUCAACAUCAUUAAUCAUUAGAGAGAUGCAAAUCAACAUCACAAUGAGAUACCACUUCACACCCAUUAGAAUGGCUAAUAUACAUUUUUUAAAACCCCAGAAAAUAGGAAGUAUUGGCAAGAAUGUGGGCAAAUUGGAUCCCUGGACAUUGCUGAUAGAAAUGUAAAAUAGCACAGUUGCUGUGAAAAACACUGUGGCAAUUCCUCAAAAAAUCAAAAGCAGAAUAAUCAUACGAUCCAGCAAUUCAUUUCUAAGUAUAUACCCAGAAGAAGUGAAAACAGGAAUUUGAACAGAUAUUUGUAUACCCAUGUUCAUAGCGGCAUUAUUCACAGUAGCAAAAGGUGGAAGCAACCCAAAUACUAAUCAACAAAUGAAUGAAUAAGAAAAACGUGGUGUACACACACAAAAUAAUAUUAUUCAGCCUUAAAAAGGAAGGAUAUUCUGGCACACACUUCAACUUAAACAAACUUUGAGGUUAUUAUGCUAACCAGAAAAAAAGACAGUCACAAAAGGACAAAUGCUGCAUGAUUCCCCUUAUAUGAGGUACCUAGAGUAGUUAAGUUCGCAGAGACAGGAAGUAGAACGGUGGUAACAGGGGGCUUGGAGCAGGUGGAAAUAGAGAGCUAUUGUUUAAUGAGGAUGGAAUUUUAGUUUUGUGAAAAAAAGUUUUGGAGAUGAUGGUGAUGGUUGCACAACAAUAUAAAUAUAUUUAAUGCCAUUGAACUGUUCACUUAAAAUUGUUAAACGGUAAAUUUUAUGUUAUGUACAUUUUGCAAUAAAAAUAAAUGUUAGUAGCAAAUUUUUUUAAAUUGAUAAAUCAGACUCUAAUUUCCUAGAGGCUUAUCAUUGAGGACCAUCUCCCCUCUUUACCACUUUUAGAAAAAAUGGCUAGUGAUCACCAAAAUACAUACAACACACACACACAUAAAUAUGUGCAAACCACAAUUGCACACACACACAUAUUCUUAUAAUAAAGCUUUCUGUAAUAAGCCAAAAUGGAGGCUCUAAUAAUAGAAGCCAGAAUAUCUUACCUCUAAGACUUCUCAGCUAAUUAGCUUCCAGUUGGGCAGGUAGUGUUCUUUCAUCCUCCAGAAUCUCCCACACGUUUGAGAACUAAGGACUCAAAGAGCAGAAGUAGGCUUAACUGUAAGGUCCAACAGGGCCAUGAAUGUUGAGUCUCUUCCUAGUCUCAUAGAAAAAAGAGGCGUUUCCUUUCUUCUCCUACAAGAGACUCCCCUUCAGUACAACUCACUCAUAGGCAGACAGAAGGUAGAGAAAGUUCUUAAAGUCACCUGCCCACACAGGAUAUUGAUGGAUACCACACAUAAGACCACAUCAUUGUAGCAAUGAGACAUGGGCUCUGCUCUGGGCAAUCCUGGAUAGUAGACCCAAAUCCCAGAUUCACAUCGACCCAAGAAUUCAGAGAAGGUCUGUGCUUAUCAUUGGCUUAUUAAACAAAUAAACCACUGCACAGGCUGGAAAGAAGGUUCCCUUAGUUCCUGCUCACUCUCAGAGGUGUUUCCCCUCCUCCCCACUUACCUUGUCACCCAUCACACAAGGUCCAAUUCCAGUUCCACCUUGUCAUGAAUCCUUCUCCUAAUCACUUAAGUUCUUAGAAGUUUUAUUUUUCCCUCUCCUGACCCCUAAAUAAUACAUUUUGGGUAUUCUUCAGAAUGAAGAUUUAUGUAAUAGAGUUUCUUUGGAGCUUUUAUUGAGUUCUUGCUCUGUGCUCCGUUUUAUCCUCAAUUAGGAUGUGAGCCCCCAAUUGAAGCUCACUGCCCUGUCUUCUUGCCCACUUGACACCCCCUGAAUUAUAGUAUAUUCCCAGGAAUUAGUUAAGAGGUUGAAAUAUUUCAACAACAGCUUUAUUAGGUAAAAAUACAGCCUUUUACAAAAACAUCCCUUUUUAGUAGAUCUUGGAACACAGUUAAUUCUCAAUAAAUGUCCAUGAAAUGGCCAUCUUAGGACAGCAAGAAGUACCCCCUCUGAAUGUCAUUUUUGUGCCUAUCAACCUACUGGGAGGAAAGACAAGAAUCCUUAUGAACCAGCCUCUUCUCUGGAGCAGACUCACAGACUCCUCCAAGGAUCAGAAUUGCAGGAAAUGUGUACAUUUCAGCCCAAUUUCCUUUUCCAGAAAGAAAAAGUGAAGUCCAAGGAAGGAGAGUGAUUUGUCCAAGAUCAUCAAUGAGUUGUGGGCAGUUCUAAGACUAGUACCUAAGUCUUGACCAUGAAUAGGCUCUCUUGAAACACCCAGAACAGGGCUUGGCACCUGGUAAGCACUCCACAAACAGUGUUUGCUUUAAUAACGAGUGACUGAAUGGACACAUGGGUGGUAUGUUGACAUGACCGUGGGAGCACAGAGGAGCAGCAUCUCAUCAGCAAUGUUUUAGGGGCAGGUGGAAGAAGAUGAAUCCAAAAUGAUUGCAGAGAAGUCCCUGUUAGAGAGGUGCAAAGGAGAGAAGAAUGAAGGCAAGAAUGGGGAAAGAAGAUUUACCAAUGCGAUGAAAUCAGGAACAGGUUAUAUCACUUGAUCAUGAAAUGUUGAACCUGGAAGACAUGCUAUGAAAGGAGGACUCACCUUUCCUGCACACCAUGCAUGCAUCUCACAGAGAACAUAAGUUCCCACCCUUCCACAAUUCUCAUUCUGCAGAUGACAAAUUAACCUGGCCAGUCAUUGCCAGGAUUUGAAUCAAAACCUCCUGACUCCAGUCAAGGCUCCUUCUGAUAGAAAAAUAUAUCUAUAAAAUAUAAAUAAGUGUAUAUAUGCAAAUAUUUAAAUUAAGAACUCAGAAGAGUUAUAGGAAAUAGGAAGGAAAAAGAAUGUAAGGGCAUAUUUAUGAGCCCCAGUUAAAUAUAUACAACCUCCAGUCAAAUACUACUAUUUAUUAUUUUUAUUUAUUAUAAAUAAUAAUAUUUAUGAAUGGGAUGAAUAUCUUCAGGCACUGAAAGAGAAUGAAUCCACAAAGAAAAGAGAAGUAACUUAUCCAGUCCAGAAAGCACCUCAUCACCCCAGACAAACCCUCAGAGAGGCAUUUAGCAACAACUUGUGGGAUAAGGGUUUCCAUUGUCUAAUUUAUGAUGUCAUUCAUCAUUCUGUUGAAUUGUAUGUUCAGAGAAAUAUGGCAAGUCCUAUUUCUCUUUCCCAAAUCUCUGAGUUUUUACUUUCUACCCAACCAAAGCCCUGUACUAGAAGUCAGAAAUUGUCAACUGACUUUAUUGAAAUUUCAGCCCCAAAAACUGUACCCUCAAAUGCUAUGAUUUAAAUAUGGACUGCCAAUGCCUCUAGAGAACUUAGUGCAUUGACAACAUGGGGGAGGAGCUUUGUGUCUUAUCCAUAGGAAUUCCCUACUGAAAGGCAAUGCCUUCUUUCAGGUUAACCAUUUAUUUUAUCCUCUGCAAUAGGACCCUGCAUUCUAGCCAGGAUCUCAAUGUGCUUCACAAAUGUUACCUACAGGCCAGUAUUAGCUUUAUCUUUUUUCAGAAUUGUUUCUAGUAUUAGAUGACUAAUACGAUUUUAGUGCAACAUUCAGGGUUUACAUUUCAACAGAACUAACAGGCCAGAACUGUGGCGAUAUUUUCUUUCUCUGCUUCAUGAAGGCAUUAGUUGUCUGGCUGGGAAAGUGUAGGAGGGGCCAAAAAAAACCUCAGAACCCCUUGAUCUCACCAUCCGGUACCUUCUCCCCUGCAUUGGCAUUGACUAAUUCUAAGAUCUGAAAGAUAACUGCCUUUUGGUCGUAAGAAAACUUUGGUUCCCUGAAGGCCAACUCAUAAACCUCAGACACAUAAUUUAAAUGAAUUUCAGGUUUUAAUCUUACUUGUAUUAACAAGUAAUAAAAACAUUACUCAAGGUAUCAUUAGUUGCUAUUAUAAACAAAUUUCAAAAAUGUGUAAUGCCCCAAACACUAUAGAAAUUUCCACCUAUAUAAAAUCCAAAAUGGGUGGUGUUCAUCAGCAAGUGGAUGUAUUCCUGAUUCCAAGAAACGGAGUCUUCCCUCUUGUGGCUCCGUCAUCUUCAACAUGGAGCUCCAAAAAUGGCUUGUCCAUGUCAGCCCCAAAAUGAUAGGAAAGACGAUUGAAGAGACCAUGAGAGAUAUUUAAGCACCAAACCAGAAAGUAGAACAUUUCUGAUCAAAUUUUUUUAAGUAAAGUUUUUUUUUAAUUGAAGCAUAACACACACACACACACACACACAGAGAGAGAGAGAGAGAGAGCUUGAAAAAAAUUGCAGCUCAAAGAAUUUUCGCAAGCUGAGAACACCCAUGUGACCAGCAUGAAGAUGAAGAAAUAAAAUAUCAGCAUCCCAGAAACCUCCCUUUUCCUCCUACUCUGUUCACCUCUCACAAAGGUAACCACUGUCCUGGCUUUUACCACCAUAGAACAAUUUUGCCUACAAGUUGAAUAAUACAAUGUAAACACUUCUAUUUCUGCUUUAUUUCUCACAACAUUGUGUUUGUAAUAUUUAUUCCUAUUGUCACAUGUAGUUGAAGAUCAUUAAUUCUCCUUGUGAUAGUAUUUCAUUUUGUGAAUAUAACUACAUUUUAUUUAUCCAUUCUACUGUCUGAUGUGUAUUAAAGUUGUUUCUAG
RNAcentral lists this long non-coding RNA (10530 nucleotides) under Homo sapiens (human). Its description in RNAcentral is "HSALNT0143818". Lineage: Eukaryota; Metazoa; Chordata; Mammalia; Primates; Hominidae. The record is from RNAcentral.